GCGCGAAAACUUUACAAUGCUGGCAACAGCGAUAAGGGAACCUCGAGUGCCAGGUUACAAAUCUGGCUGUCGAGAUGCCUAAAAAGCAUUUCAUAGCAAGGGCCGGGCAAGACCGGUGCCAGCCGCCGCGGUAACACCGGCGGCUCGAGUGGUAACCGUUAUUAUUGGGUCUAAAGGGUCUGUAGCCGGCCGGAUAAGUCUCUUGAGAAAUCUGGCAGCUUAACUGUCAGGCUUUCAGGAGAUACUGUCUGGCUCGAGGCCGGGAGAGGUGAGAGGUACUUCAGGGGUAGGGUGAAAUCUUGUAAUCCUUGAAGGACCACCAGUGGCGAAGGCGUCUCACCAGAACGGACCUGACGGCAAGGGACGAAAGCUAGGGGCACGAACCGGAUUAGAUACCCCAGU
Molecule: ribosomal RNA, 402 nt
Filed under: uncultured bacterium
Lineage: Bacteria
Description: bacterial SSU rRNA
Rfam family: Archaeal small subunit ribosomal RNA
Source: RNAcentral